GUGCUUGCUUCAGCAAGCACAUGUGCUAAAAUUGGAACAAUCUAGAGAAGAUUAGCAUGGCCCCUGCAGAAGGAUGACACUCAAUUCCAUGAAGCAUUCCAUAUUUUU
This is a small nuclear RNA of Gracilinanus agilis (Agile Gracile Mouse Opossum), 108 nucleotides long. NCBI's taxonomy places the organism in Eukaryota, Metazoa, Chordata, Mammalia, Didelphimorphia, Didelphidae. The record is from RefSeq and is a predicted model, not a curated record.